UCCGUCCCUCGUGUCCAACUAGCCCACCCCGCCCUCCUCAUCCAAUUUCAUUCCCUCCCCUAAAAAAAUCCAAUUUCGUCCCCACCGUUUGGCCCCGAUCUCCACCGCGCUCUAGGGUUCCGGCCGCCGCUGGCGAGGGCCUGCCAUUUGAGGCGCUCCUUCGUUCUCCACCGCGCUCAAUAGGCUCCCGGCCGCCGCCGGCGAGGGCCUGCCAUUUGAGGCGCUCGAGGAGGAUUCGCCAUCCCUCGACGCCGCUGCUCCUCUGGACCCCGUCGUGCUUCGGGACAGGCCUGCGCUCACCCCUACCGGCCGCCGCCGGCGAGGGCCUGCCAUUUGAGGCGCUCGAGGAGGACUCGCCGUCCCCCGACGCCGUUGCUCCCCUGGACCCCGUCGCGCUCCGAGACAGGCCGGCGCUCACCCCCGACUUCUCUCGCCUCGUCUUCUCCAUGGAGCUCCCCUGCCGACGGCCCACGCCGGAGCUUUGGGCCGACCUCCCCUCCGGCAGCACGCGCCGCCCGAACCCAGUUGGCCGCGUCGGCAAUUUCAAUAUUGCGCUCUCACAGUCCGGCUCUGCUCGUGCCAAGCUCUAGUUUUUCGUACUCCAGCUCUUGGAUGUGCUAUCCUCCCUUCUCACUCUCGGGCUCCAGCAGCAAAUGGAUGAAAAGCAUCACGAAGCAGCUCAGCUCCAUCUUCUAUAGUUAUUUCUUGAAUCUGUGAUAUACUAUAUAAUGCAUUCUGUAGAAAACAGAAUGAUGUUCAUUGGAGCCUCUCUCUUGCUAUGUUUCUUCCAUUUGUUUCUGCUCUAAGAAAACUCCAUACUUGGAAAAUGUCUCUUCAUGACUUCUUCGAAGUUUUUUCUGUAGUUUUCAGUCUUGGGUGCGUGCAGUUUCUUCAUGUCACAUCUGAAAUUUGGGGCCAUGUAUGUACAUUGUAAUUAGCAGGGCCUUCCCUGUUUGUGAUACUAAAUGAGGUACCUCUAUAUGUAGGUUUGCACCGUGUCAUUUUUUCCUGUCAUUAAUUGAUCUUCAUACCAAGAAAAUCCUGUUGGAGGGAUAUCGUGCA
Long non-coding RNA from Triticum dicoccoides, 1062 nucleotides. RefSeq lists it as uncharacterized. Lineage: Eukaryota; Viridiplantae; Streptophyta; Magnoliopsida; Poales; Poaceae. The record is from RefSeq and is a predicted model, not a curated record. The transcript is spliced from 2 exons.